GUUUUUGUAGUUGAAUAACAACAGUGGUUUUUCAUGCCAUUAGUUCUGGUUAAAAUCCAGAUGAGAACU
This 69-nucleotide transfer RNA is filed under the name Asterropteryx semipunctata (starry goby). RNAcentral's name for it is "tRNA-Glu". It matches the Rfam family "tRNA". From Rfam's summary of the family: Transfer RNA (tRNA) molecules are approximately 80 nucleotides in length. Their secondary structure includes four short double-helical elements and three loops (D, anti-codon, and T loops). Lineage: Eukaryota; Metazoa; Chordata; Actinopteri; Gobiiformes; Gobiidae. The record is from RNAcentral.